This 230-nucleotide ribosomal RNA is filed under the name uncultured bacterium. Its description in RNAcentral is "partial 16S ribosomal RNA". It matches the Rfam family "Bacterial small subunit ribosomal RNA", at positions 109 to 334 of the family's 1533-position model. The record is from RNAcentral.
CGUAACACGUAAGCAGCCUGCCCCCAAGACCGGGACAACAGCUCGAAAGGGCUGCUAAUACCGGAUGUGACCACAAGAUCGCAUGGUGUUGUGAUUAAAUCAUCGAAAGGUGGCUUGGGGAGGGGCUUGCGGCCUAUCAGCUAGUUGGUGGGGUAACGGCCUACCAAGGCGACGACGGGUAGCUGGUCUGAGAGGACGGCCAGCCGGACUGGGACUGAGAGACGGCCCAG